AUCCUUUGGUGGUUCAUAAGCAUGACAAUUGACUUCUCACGCUAUUGUGUGAGAUGUACGUCCUUCAAAUCUUGUUGCGAUGCUGGCACAUUACCGAUCUGAUG
This is a small nucleolar RNA of Pongo abelii (Sumatran orangutan), 104 nucleotides long. The record is from Ensembl. NCBI's taxonomy places the organism in Eukaryota, Metazoa, Chordata, Mammalia, Primates, Hominidae.